UGGGAACGCUCAGGCGCGUGGCAGCGUGUCCUUGUUGAAGAUGCAUCUGGGGGCCUUGCGGAAUUUUCCAUGCUGAUGCCGAUGGUAACGUUCAAGGCACGUGUAUCGUUAUCGGAGGUGGUUCUGGAAGCUUCCUUGCGAGUUUUAGUGGAGGUGGUAAUGGGACUUCUAUUGUUCUGUGGAGCCGUUGUACGUGUAGCACGUGUUGUUUCGUGUUUCUUCCAAUAAAGUAUUUUUGCCUAAUAGUGUGGAGGUAUUCGUGAUGGAGGCUCCUGUGUCUUCUGAUCCAGUCGUGGAAUGUGAGAGGAAGAAGAGGAAGAGGAAGAAAAGGAAGAAUCAGAAGCAUAAACUACGCAAGAGGAAUCCGAAUCGUUUGCGAAGG
Bombus pyrosoma is the source of this 382-nucleotide long non-coding RNA. RefSeq lists it as uncharacterized. The record is from RefSeq and is a predicted model, not a curated record. Lineage: Eukaryota; Metazoa; Arthropoda; Insecta; Hymenoptera; Apidae. The transcript is spliced from 3 exons.